Molecule: long non-coding RNA, 2643 nt
Organism: Ictalurus punctatus (channel catfish)
Lineage: Eukaryota; Metazoa; Chordata; Actinopteri; Siluriformes; Ictaluridae
Exons: 3
Source: RefSeq, a predicted model, not a curated record
GAACCCUCAAAACUCCGCUCGCUCGUUUAUUCACCUUGGCAGAAUAUUCCCAGUGUGUUCGCCAGCCUCCUGAAUCAAUAUCCACAAGGUUAUAAUCCACAGUAAGAGCAUUAGCAUGGUCCUUGGCAAACGCACACCAUCAGUUCCACCAUUCCCACCUGGCUCUCAUUUCCGCGUCCUGCUUUCUCUCACCUAGUCACCUGUUCUUUUUAUUGCUUCCUAAUACCCCACCCUUCUCUUCAUAUCUUUUUUUACUUCCAUUAAUAAAAACACCACGGAAUGGAACGGACUCUGCUUCUGAGUCACUAAAUGGCACACUUAUAUAACACUUUUAUCCAAAGUGCUUUACACUGUGUCCCAUUUACCCAUUCACACACCAAUGGUAGCAGAGCUGCCAUGCAAGGCGCUAACUUGCCAUCGGGAGCAACUUGGGGUUCAGUGUCUUGCCCAAGGACACUUUGGCAUGUGGAGUCAGGCUGGCCGGGAAUCGAACGGCCAACCCUACGAUUAGUGGACAACCCGCUCUACCACCUGAUCCACAGCCGCCCCUGUUACUGUGCAGCUAUCUGUUACAAAUGAAUGGGAAAAUAUCCUUGGCAUCCCUGCAAUUCAAGGAUGUUGUAAUUGGUAAGUUGUGACGUCAAAAGUAUCUGUACCAAGUUGAUACUAAAAUUUUAAAAAGAAUGAUACGAUAAGGUUUUUUUCAGUACCGGCAGUACCAAGUAUUCUCCUGCUUUCUGAUUGACUUUCUUUUGUAGGUAUUAAUUAACUGUGAUUUCCACUCAGCCAUCUUACUGAAAUUUGUGUAGGUUAGGAAUAAGACUGAGGAUGGAGUUGUACAGUUUUGUAGUGUGUAUCAUUUGUAAAUAUUGUUAACUUCUUUACCAUAGCCAUGCUGAGGGAGGCGUUGACUAAAUUAGAGAUGGUGCUGGACCAACAAACCACUGAGCUUGCUUCAACUACAGGUGUUCCAGGUGCAGUCUUUGGAUACUGAUGAAGAUUUACUGCCCUGCAAGAUCUUCCUCAACUGCGUAGUCUGGAGCAAAGGAUGCAACAGAGCCCAGAUUGCAAGCAAAAACUGGGCAGAUGUGCUCGACUGCACCUGGCGCAUAUUGAAGAGGGUGAUUGCUAACUCCCUGGAAAGAACCUCAAUUGGAGGGGAGUCAAUGGAAAGACUUCACUGGCCACUCUCCAACUUGGAGAGGUCAUGAUUGGUUUAUGGAAGUGUGCCCUGCCUCGAUCAAAGGACAUUCCUGAGGACCUCAGAAAAAGAGAGUUGUCAAUGCUCACUGGCUUGGAAAGGGUUACAGAGCCAUUUCUAAAGAGUUUGGCUUUCACCAAUCCACUGUGAGGUAAAUGACAUACAGAUGCAGGAAAUUCAGCACCACUGUUACUCUCCCAAGGACUGGGCGUCCAGCAAAAAAGACCACUCCAAGGGUGUGGUGAAUAAUAUCACAGUAAGUCAUAAAGAACCCCAGGGUAACAUCGGAGAACCUACAGGCCACUACUUUCCAUAAAAGAACACUGCUGCCUGUCUGAAGUUUGCUCACAACCAUGUGGAAAUGCCAGGAGCCUAUUGGAAGAAUGUUCUGUGGACAGAUGAGUCCAGAACAGAACUUCUUGCUUUAAUUGAAAAUCAUUGUUUGAUGCAAACUGAAAAUAGCAUCCCAACAUAAGAACUUCAUCCCAACCGUGAAGCAUGGGGGUGGCAGCAUUAUGGUUUGGGGCUGCUUUGGGUCCGAACCAGCUUGCCAUUAUUGAUGGACCUAUGAAUCCUAGAUUGUACCAGGAGAAUCUCAGGGUAUCUGUCUGUGAACUCAAGCUUAACUGUAAGUGGGCCUUGCAGCAGAGACAACGACCUUAAGCACACAUGUACGUCUACAGAGAAAUGGUUAAAGCAGAAGAAAUUGAACAUUUUGGAAUGGAAAGUCAGACCUUAACCCGAUAGAAACAUUGUGGAAGGACCUAAAAAGAGCAGUUCAUGCAUAGAAGCCUGCCAGCAUCAUUGAGUUGAAGCAGGAGGAGUGAGCCAAAAUUCCUCAAACCCAUUGUGCAGGAUUGAUUGAGUCAUCGGAAAUGUUUGCUUCAAGUUAUUGCUGCUGGAAGGUCUCACACCGGUUACUGAAAUAAAAGUUUACAUACUUUUUUCAGCAAAGAUGUCUAAUGUUGGGUAAUUGUGCUCAGUGAAUAAAUGUGAAAACUAUAAUGCAUUUGUUUAAUUGGGUUCUCUUUAUCUAGUUUUAGGGCUUGGAUGGAAGUUCUGUUCACAUUUCAGGUCAAAUGAAUUUAAUUUUAUACUUGUUCGUAGUCUUUUUUUAUUUUUGGCUAUCAAAUCUUUAUAUUUUUAUCUUUCAUAUAUUUUCUGGAUUGUUCUGGUAAAGUCUUGAAAUUGCUACUCCUGAAAUCAAAACUGGUGUUUCGAGAUGUUUUUGUACCUUUAUGGCCUCCAAUACCAUAGUUUAAAAAUAAAUAAUUUAAAAAGUCACUUUUGGGGAAAAAUGAUACAAUUUUAAUGCUUCAACAUGCAAUAGACUUGUGUUCGUCCAAUUAAAUGCUCUCUAGAAUGUGUAGGAAUGUGUGGGUCUUGAGGCGGGUCUUGCUCAACAGUAGCAGCUCAUUAGCAUCAAUGUUCUUCAGAGCUGG